RNAcentral lists this ribosomal RNA (253 nucleotides) under uncultured bacterium. RNAcentral describes it as "partial 16S ribosomal RNA". It matches the Rfam family "Bacterial small subunit ribosomal RNA", at positions 524 to 776 of the family's 1533-position model. The record is from RNAcentral.
UACGAAGGGGGCGAGCGUUGUUCGGAAUUACUGGGCGUAAAGGGCGCGCAGGCGGCGCGAGAAGUCAGGCGUGAAAGCCCCGGGCUCAACCUGGGAAUUGCGCUUGAUACUCUUGUGCUGGAGUUCGGGAGAGGAGAGUGGAAUUCCCAGUGUAGAGGUGAAAUUCGUAGAUAUUGGGAAGAACACCGGUGGCGAAGGCGGCUCUCUGGACCGAGACUGACGCUGAGGCGCGAAAGCGUGGGGAGCAAACAGG